RNAcentral lists this ribosomal RNA (117 nucleotides) under Sinocyclocheilus rhinocerous. The record is from RNAcentral. Lineage: Eukaryota; Metazoa; Chordata; Actinopteri; Cypriniformes; Cyprinidae.
GCCAGCAGUCAUAUCACCCUGUAGCCCAAGACUGGUUGCCCACUGAAGCUAAGCAGGGUUGAGCCUGGUCAGUACCUGGAUGGGGGACCUCCUGGGAAAACUAGGUUGCUGCUGGAA